GGCGGCACAUAGCCGCGCGUCGAGGCCACUGCAAAGCCCGUCUCUCCUCUCGCUCUCGUCGCCUUGCUUCUGCCGACGUCGACAGCAAACAGCCACCGCCGCCACCGUCGCCGCGGCGGCUGAUGCCGCGCGCCCCAAGCCGAGGGACGCCGGGCGCGGCCGCCACCUCCGCCGCUGCCGCGGAAGGGCCGGGAAGAGCAGGGCCGCGGGUGCCAAUGCCGCGGCGGGCGAGGGCUCCAAGGAGAGCCCCGGCCCCGACCCUGCCCCCAGAUGGGGGCGGAGUACGUGCCGGAGAAGCCCGGCCUCGACGCCGGCGACCCCCCUCCUCGGCGCCUCCGCUACCGUCUUCGAGAAAUUCGGCUUCAAGGAGCCCCCGCCGCCGCACCUCCCGCGGUUUCCGGGUCCUCCUCUCCUCCCGCCGAGGGCGAGGAGAAGGAGAAUGAAGGCGCGCCCCAAAUGCCACGAAGAAGGGGUCAGAUGCCACUGAUAGUGAAGCUGCAGAAGAAGCAGUUGCAGAGGAUGAAGAUUGCAGAGCUGAAGCAGAUGUGCGACAAGCCCGAUGCUGUUGGGGUCUGGGAUGGUAAUGCCCCUGAUCCGAAGUUGCUUGUAUAUCUGAAAGUUCCUGCAGGAACACGGUCCCUGUUCCAAGACACUGCUGCCAGAAACGAAAGUUCCUGCAGGGACUCCUGUAACAUCCAAGGAAGCUGGAAAUGGUGUUGCACUGCUUGAAUGGUUUCUGUAGUGUAUAUAGGAUAGUUGAAUCUACUGUGUAUUUAUUUGAUGCCUCUUCUGCUGUACAAAUUAGAGUCCAACUAGAGUCCAUCGCCUUUGAUAUUUCGUGCAUUAGAAUCAGAUCGCACUUCUUGAACUGUUAUGUUUUUGUUGAAGACUAAAAAAUUCUAAACUCAAGAUAGCAUCUAGCACUACCAAUUUUAACCUAUUGCUCUGUUCAUAUUCUUGGAUUCAUGCAUUAUGCUGUUGUUUCAGGGAAAGAGGGAUAUUGAAAAACAACAGUUCCAGCUUCCAGACUUCAUUGCUGCAUCUGGAAUUGAAAAAAUAAGACAGGUGUCAAAUUUGAGUAUUGCUGGGCCCAUCACUCAGAGUUAUCAUGGUGGGUCUCAAAGUUCACGAUUCAUAAGGCCUGAGAGCAAGAAGGAGUUGUUGUUCUCAAGGGCACUGCAAUCAUGGCUAUUUCCACAGUCCAUGUUACCUGCUUCCAUCAUAUCUGCUAUGCUCUCAUCAAAUACAUGA
This is a non-coding RNA of Aegilops tauschii subsp. strangulata, 1251 nucleotides long. Lineage: Eukaryota; Viridiplantae; Streptophyta; Magnoliopsida; Poales; Poaceae. The record is from RefSeq and is a predicted model, not a curated record.